This 808-nucleotide ribosomal RNA is filed under the name marine metagenome. RNAcentral describes it as "bacterial SSU rRNA". It matches the Rfam family "Bacterial small subunit ribosomal RNA", at positions 701 to 1520 of the family's 1533-position model. The record is from RNAcentral.
AAAGAAUACCAAUUGCGAAGGCAGCUUUCUGGAUCAUUACUGACACUGAGGAACGAAAGCAUGGGUAGCGAAGAGGAUUAGAUACCCUCGUAGUCCAUGCCGUAAACGAUGUGUGUUAGACGUUGGAAAUUUAUUUUCAGUGUCGCAGCGAAAGCGAUAAACACACCGCCUGGGGAGUACGACCGCAAGGUUAAAACUCAAAUGAAUUGACGGGGACCCGCACAAGUAGUGGAGCAUGUGGUUUAAUUCGAAGAUACGCGCAGAACCUUACCAACACUUGACAUGUUCGUCGCGACUUUAAGAGAUUAAAGUUUUCGGUUCGGCCGGACGAAACACAGGUGCUGCAUGGCUGUCGUCAGCUCGUGUCGUGAGAUGUUGGGUUAAGUCCCGCAACGAGCGCAACCCUCACUUUUAGUUGCCAUCAUUUAGUUGGGCACUCUGAAAGAACUGCCAGUGAUAAGCUGGAGGAAGGUGGGGAUGACGUCAAGUCCUCAUGGCCCUUACGUGUUGGGCUACACACGUGCUACAAUGGUAUCUACAACAGGAAGCAAGACGGCGACGUUAAGCAAAUCCUCAAAAGAUACCUCAGUUCGGAUUGCACUCUGCAACUCGAGUGCAUGAAGCUGGAAUUACUAGUAAUCGUGGAUCAGCGUGCCACGGUGAAUGCGUUCCCGGGUCUUGUACACACCGCCCGUCACACCAUGGGAGUUGGUUCUACCUUAAGGCAAGGUUUUAUACCCUUGACCACGGUAUAGUCAGCGACUGGGGUGAAGUCGUAACAAGGUAGCCGUAGGGGAACCUGCGGCUG